Long non-coding RNA from Diceros bicornis minor, 1057 nucleotides. RefSeq lists it as uncharacterized. The record is from RefSeq and is a predicted model, not a curated record. NCBI's taxonomy places the organism in Eukaryota, Metazoa, Chordata, Mammalia, Perissodactyla, Rhinocerotidae. The transcript has 4 exons.
UACUCAUUGCACUUCUCCAACCUCCUCCAUCCCCAUGGGAAAUAGUCCGAGGCUGUGAGAAGUACUUGUCUUAGAUAUAAUGUCUGAAUUCCCACCUCCUAUCAGGGAGCCCUGAGCUGGUCUGACUGGUGAGGGUUUCGUACAGUGGUUAGAGAUGAUGGAAGCUGUGUCUGAGCUGAAGCUGGGGACGAUGUCAACAUCAAGGAAGCAUACAGAGCUGACAGGUGUUCCAGAGGACGAUGACCGUGCUGAUGGAGAAGGCCAAGAAGAGCAGGUAGAGCCGGAAGAGGAAGGUGUCUAUCAUGUAGCCAAACUGCAUCCACAGAAAUGACGUCAGCAGCUGAAGUUGUGCAUUCUGACAACAAACAAACAAAAAACAUCAAGGAUCAUUAAUGCCAUGAAUUCAAGUCCUAGUCUACCUCCUGCCUUUGUUUCCUAAGUGGUCCCUUGUGACAGUUCAGCUUUCAAUCACGAGUUCCAACAGAAAGGAUAUAAUAAAGGAUACAGAUGAACAUCCAGAUGAAAAGCACAGGGCAAGGUCUGGAAGGAUCCUGAGCACAGCAGCUUCUGUCCCCAUGGAGUUGGGGUAUGCCACCCUCCUGGCACAUGGAUGUGUUCACCAAUUCAGAAGCUCUCCGAACCCAUGGUUUAGGGAUUUUUUAUGGAAGUUCAUCACAUAGGCACGAUUGAUUAUUAACUCAUAUUCCUGGGAGGAUGAGGAUUGGGGCUGAAAGUUCCAAGCUUCUAAUCAUGGCUUGGUCUUUCUGGUGAUUGGCCCCCACCUGGAAGCUAUCCAGGAGUCCACCAAGAGUCACCUCAUUGGAACAAAAGAUGCUCCUAUCACCCAGGAAAUUCCAAGGGAUUUAGGAGCUCUGUGUCAGGACCAGAGUCAAAGACCAAAUAUUAGAACAAAAGAUGCUCCUAACACCUCUAUCAUUCAGGAAAUUACAAGAGUUUUAGGAAUUCUGUGUCAGGAACUGGGAGCAGAGACCAAACAUAUAUUUCUUCACAGAGUUGUUUACAAUUUUUGUCUGUUAUAUGUAAAGCUAUUAUAAAC